UAUAGACAAUCACUUGUCUAAAGUUACCAUCAAAUUCAAGCUGACAUCCAAAUACUAUUUUUCAUUUUUAAAUAUAGUUUUCAUUCAAUUAUUUGAUAUCAGUCCCUCUCUUAUCCUUCCUAUUCUGUCUGGAUCCUCAGGAAUAUUGUAUUUCGUUAACAUCGUGUAAUAGGGGAAGACAGACUGUGGAAACAAACCAUGGCAGCCACAUCCACCAGAAUGAACCUGGAGGACAUUUAUCUAUUAUUUUCUGUGACUAUUGUGGCUGCAGAACUUAGAAGCAAUUGUAUAUUGUAGUGCUUCAGAGAUUAAUUUGAUGUGGAAACAUGACCUAUUCAUCCUGCUCAUGAGGAACUCAGACUCAGAUCUCAGGAGCCUGUUCAUGAUAAUCUCAGUCUCAGGCAUGGAUGAAAUGAUUCUUUCCAACUUCUGAGAAGGCUUCAUUGAAGACAUGCUCACCAUAAAUACAUUGUGGAUAAGGAAGUGCAGACAUCCAUCUCUGACUUCUCCUGGGAAGCUUUUGCUGAAGACAGAGACACCACACCUACCUGCUUGUAUUUUAAUUUGAAGGACAUUAACAGAAAAGAAACACAGAGACCAUAACCAGAUUUGGGGAUGUGAGCCCCUUUUCUCAUUUGGCAAAAGCUACCAGGCUUGAUUAUAUAGGACAGAGAUUAUGAAGUCAGAGACCUCUGUCUAAAGCACCUGAUGGGAAAAGACAAUCUGAUGAAAACAUUGGGCUGAGCAGUAGCAGAAGUGUAGAUGAAAACACCAAAACUGAAGUUUUGUUUGGUAUGCUUCAUACCCAUAUGAAUAAUUUCUACCUGGGAAGCCAUAUCAGUGACUGAAUUGUCAGUAAGCAGCUGCAGAGGAAACAUGGCUGCUUCUGUGGUUACAGAAAAAUGUCUUUCAUGAUAAUUUUUGGCCAUGAGAAAUACUUCAGUUGUAAGUCCUCUGUUUCUCUUCUGAAAGAGAUAGGCCUCCAUUAAGUAUCAACAAAGAUAGGAGUAUCAAAUUGCAGUAAGACUAAGAAACUGUGCUUGUAUUAAUGUUGGACAAGGCUUGGUGAAUCCUGUUGAAGAGAGGGAAGAAGGAUUGUAUAAGUCUGGAGAAUCAAGGUCACCACAAGGUCUCACAAGCAUGCUCAUGAAAAUUUCAGUCUCAAGCAUGGAUGAAAUGUUCUUCCCAACUUCUGAGAAGGCUUCAUUGAAGACAUGCUCACCAUACCUACCCUGUGGUAAGCUUCAUACAUGUAUGGUUGAUUUCUACCUGGGAAGCCAAAUCAGUGACUGAAGUAUCAGUAAGCAGUGCAGAAGAAACAUGGCUCCUUCUGUGUUUACAGAGAAAUGUCUCUAAGGAUGACUUUCAGCUCUGAGAGAUACUUCAGUUGUAAGGAAAGAAAUCAUUUCUGGUAGGGAAAGUCAUUCUGCUGCAGCAUUUGGUUGGGAUUGAUCAGACUGCGGGGAUUAUUUCAUCUAUGCGGUGUAUGAGACUUCAUAAAAGAGUUGUGAACUGUAGAAGAAAUGGAUAUUUUUUGUUAUUUCAGCAUAUGGAAAAGUGUCACAAAUGAUAGGAAUAAUAUAGAAGACUCCCAGGGAUCAGAAAAACUGGAUCCCAUGGAGAGAAUCAUGCAAUAUGCCAUGAAGAGGAUGAUUUGCACAGCCUGGGCCUUCAACAGAAGAAAUAUAUGAUGGAAGGAAAGAAGUUACAACAUGAUAUCAUCUCUUCAUGAAUUUAACAGAAGUUCUACAGCAAUGUUACCAGCAGUGUUCACCUUAAGAUUGCAUGGUGCUAAGGAGAAGCACAGAUAUAUGCUGGACAACAUAGAAAACACUCUGUACCAUAUUGGUAUUGUAAGAAAUUCUAAAAUCAAAUUAUGGGAAAGUGCAGUGAAUGUGACUGUUUGGAGAGAAGCUCGGCUCACAUGUGAUGAGGAAUACCGUAGAGACGCCUCUGCACUGCUCAUGUCCACUACAUCUUAGUGGCUCAGAGUAGAACAUCAUAGACACUUUCUUACUUUCUAAUAUUUCAGAAAAAAUAAAUUGAAACUUGAGGAGGCACUCAGAGAUAUGGUAAAAGAAUGCUGGAGGUUUACAUAGACCAGUCAGCCUUUAUGGUCUUUGGCUAUUAUUCAAAUGGUUACUUUUCCUUUCAAUGUCAAAUAUGCCUAGGAGGGAAGUUGUUUUAGGCAGGGAUGUUGUCAAGUCCCAGGACUCUUAAGACUGGUUCUGUAUUUUUAGUUCCUGUGGUAAUUUUCCACCUAGGUUCUUGAUUUUAUUAUUAUGAGGGAUGUGUAGUGUCUGGUUUCUCUAAUCUACAGUUCAUGAUUCUACUCUUCCACAUCAUUAGCCAGCACUCUCUCAGCCUCCUACAUCCCUGUUCUAAAUACCUCACAAACCUUCAGAUUUGAGAAAUUAUCAUUAUUUUACUGGCAGACUUGAUCUCUGUGAGUUCAAGGCCAGACUGAUCUCCAGAGCAAGGGCCAGGAUAUGCUCCAAACCC
This is a non-coding RNA of Cricetulus griseus (Chinese hamster), 2502 nucleotides long. NCBI's taxonomy places the organism in Eukaryota, Metazoa, Chordata, Mammalia, Rodentia, Cricetidae. The record is from RefSeq and is a predicted model, not a curated record.